This 1721-nucleotide long non-coding RNA is filed under the name Prunus dulcis (almond). RNAcentral's name for it is "sRNA ncRNA". The record is from RNAcentral. Lineage: Eukaryota; Viridiplantae; Streptophyta; Magnoliopsida; Rosales; Rosaceae.
CAUAACUAAGGCUGCAAAUAAUUUAAUCAUGUGUCUUAACUGCUUGCCGAUUCUCAUCAUUCGAUUAAGAUAUGUCAUAUUUAGCAUCAAAUUAAGGAUUUUAAAAACUCUCUCUCUCUCUCUCUCUCUCUCUCUCAAAUACCAAGGCAAGUUCGGCAAGAGGGUUAAAACCGUGCGCUCAACCCUAGAUGCUGCUUUGGUUUAAAUAGCAACCAGAAGGGACACAGAGUCAGAUCGAGUCAGAUGGAGAGGAAGAGUUUCAUUAUUAAAAAGCAAAUGCAAGCAUCGUUGUGGAUGCAUUUAAACCAACGGGCAACGGCAAUAAGUUUUCUGUAAGUAGAAAUUGAUAGCAUCUUUUCUUUUGUCACAGAGAGAGUUAAAAGAGAUCAUCAGAGAGAGAGAGAGAUUCCAGGAGAAAUACUUUUGCCAUUUUUUGUCACACGCAUUCUUAUCUUUUUUUGAUUAAUUACGCUAUCGACAACAGGGGCUAGAGGUACAUUUCGAGGUAAUUUGUGCAUGAAUUUUAUGUCAAAAUAGCUCUUGCUACCUGCGGGCAUGUGACGCUUAUUGACAUGCAUUUAUACAUAUUUAUUGUAAUUAUUACUUUUAGUACUCCUGUUUUAAUUUUCUUAAUUUUGCUCACAUUCUUUACUCCCUUUAUCAACUUUGGUUAAAUAUUGAAUUUCCUCAAUUUGAAUAUCUUAGGGUCAAUAUGUAAUAUUUUCUUGUCCAAUUUCUCCAACUCAAUUGGAAUAUCACCAAUUUCUCUCUAAGUAAACCUAAAAAUCUUGGGUUGCAUAUCUCUAAGUUUUCCCCAAAGCUGUAUUCUAACACUUAAUCUAGCUCUUCCAAUAUUGCAUACAAAGUAAUAUGUUAUCCGUCCACAUGACCACCAAAUUAUAAAAAUUGAAGAAAAUUGAACAUUUGUCUAAAAUUGAUCAAGAAAGUAAAUCAUAAGGGUAAAAUUAACCAAAUAAUACCUAAAGUGACAAUUACGGUAAACUAAAAAGACCAUUUGUGACUUUUAGUCUCUUAGAAUUAACCGUGACAAAGAAGAUGAAUAUAUACAUUUAUAUAAUUAGUCUUAAAAAAUAAUGUAAAAAGUUCAUUUGCUUGUUUCACUACAGGCCAAGAAGAGUAUAAAUCAAUAAUAAUAAUAAUAAUAAUAAUAGGAUGUGUUUAUGAAAGAAAAAUUGUACCUUAUAAACUAUUUGCAAAAGCUAUUAUUGAAAUCCCAAUCUCAAAUGCUCUAAUCCCCAUUGAUGAAAACAAAAAUUCCAAAAUUGCAUGUUUUGUCUUAAUUUGUUGGCAUUGAAACUUCAUUUAUGCACCUAACCUAGGAGUAGUGUCGACUGGAACCCUAGAGAUGAUGUAUAUGCGGAGAAGAUAUAAACCAGCUGAAACUAAAGUCCAAUACAUUUGUUAAGCUCAUCUAUGUUGAAUUUUGAGACUGAUUUCAUCGAUUGCUUGCUUAUAUUCCAAACUAAGACCGAUAUUUCCCCCAUUCUUGAGUAUAGAAUUGAUACAACAUAUAUACCAGAUAUGAUGUUUGAUUCCAAGAGAAAGAAUCUUUGUACAAAUCUUUCCAGUUUUGGAUGGAUAUGCGAGACAAGGACAAGGCCGCACUGAUUGUUAGUUGACAGGGGCCGCCCCGCCACAUAGAGCGUUGCCUUACACAUGUAAUUGCUUCUUCUUCGACCUAAGCCACUAAUCUCUCUCUC